RNAcentral lists this ribosomal RNA (553 nucleotides) under Lucilia sericata (common green bottle fly). Its description in RNAcentral is "partial 16S ribosomal RNA". It matches the Rfam family "Bacterial large subunit ribosomal RNA", at positions 1797 to 2619 of the family's 2925-position model. The record is from RNAcentral. Lineage: Eukaryota; Metazoa; Arthropoda; Insecta; Diptera; Calliphoridae.
CGCCUGUUUAACAAAAACAUGUCUUUUUGAUUUUAAUUUAAAGUCUGACCUGCCCACUGAAAUAUUUUAAAUGGCCGCAGUAUACUAACUGUGCAAAGGUAGCAUAAUCAUUAGUCUUUUAAUUGAAGGCUGGUAUGAAUGGUUGGACGAAAUAUUAACUGUUUCAUGAAAAUUUAUAAUAGAAUUUUAUUUUUUAGUCAAAAAGCUAAAAUUUAUUAAAAAGACGAGAAGACCCUAUAAAUCUUUAUAUUUAUAUUAUUAUAAUUUUGUAGAUUCUUUUUAUUAUAAUAAUAGAUUAUAUUUUAUUGGGGUGAUAUUAAAAUUUAAUAAACUUUUAAUUUUUUAAAUCAUUAAUUUAUGAAUAAUUGAUCCGUUAUUAGCGAUUAAAAAAACAAGUUACUUUAGGGAUAACAGCGUAAUUUUUUUGGAGAGAACAUAUCGAUAAAAAAGAUUGCGACCUCGAUGUUGGAUUAAGAUAUAAUUUUAGGUGUAGCCGCUUAAAUUUUAAGUCUGUCCGACUUUUAAAUUCUUACGUGAUCUGAGUUCAGACCGG